RNAcentral lists this ribosomal RNA (1322 nucleotides) under unidentified marine bacterioplankton. Its description in RNAcentral is "bacterial SSU rRNA". It matches the Rfam family "Bacterial small subunit ribosomal RNA", at positions 1 to 1375 of the family's 1533-position model. The record is from RNAcentral.
UUAGAGUUUGAUCAUGGCUCAGAACGUACGCUGGCGGCACGCCUAACACAUGCAAGUCGAACGAAGUAGCAAUACUUAGUGGCAGACGGGUGAGUAACAUGUGGGUAUCUGCCCUUUGGCCUGGAAUAACACGAGGAAACUUGUGCUAAUACUGGAUAAGUCUUUACGGAGAAAGCUUUAUGCACCAUUGGAUGAGCCCGCACUUGAUUAGUUUGUUGGUGGGGUAAUGGCCUACCAAGACCGUGAUCAAUAGCUGAUUUGAGAGGAUGAUCAGCCACAUUGGGACUGAGACACGGCCCAAACUCCUACGGGAGGCAGCAGUGGGGAAUCUUGCACAAUGGAGGAAACUCUGAUGCAGCGAUGCCGCGUGAGUGAAGAAGGCCUUUGGGUUGUAAAGCUCUUUCGUCGGGGAAGAAAAUGACUGUACCCGAAUAAGAAGGUCCGGCUAACUUCGUGCCAGCAGCCGCGGUAAUACGAAGGGACCUAGCGUAGUUCGGAAUUACUGGGCUUAAAGAGUUCGUAGGUGGUUGAAAAAGUUGGUGGUGAAAUCCCAGAGCUUAACUCUGGAACUGCCAUCAAAACUUUUCAGCUAGAGUUUGAUAAAGGAAAGCAGAAUUUCUAGUGUAGAGGUGAAAUUCGUAGAUAUUAGAAAGAAUACCAAUUGCGAAGGCAGCUUUCUGGAUCAUUACUGACACUGAGGAACGAAAGCAUGGGUAGCGAAGAGGAUUAGAUACCCUCGUAGUCCAUGCCGUAAACGAUGUGUGUUAGACGUUGGAAAUUUAUUUUCAGUGUCGCAGCGAAAGCGAUAAACACACCGCCUGGGGAGUACGACCGCAAGGUUAAAACUCAAAUGAAUUGACGGGGACCCGCACAAGUAGUGGAGCAUGUGGUUUAAUUCGAAGAUACGCGCAGAACCUUACCAACACUUGACAUGUUCGUCGCAACUUUAAGAGAUUAAAGUUUUCGGUUCGGCCGGACGAAACACAGGUGCUGCAUGGCUGUCGUCAGCUCGUGUCGUGAGAUGUUGGGUUAAGUCCCGCAACGAGCGCAACCCUCACUUUUAGUUGCCAUCAUUAAGUUGGGCACUCUGAAAGAACUGCCAGUGAUAAGCUGGAGGAAGGUGGGGAUGACGUCAAGUCCUCAUGGCCCUUACGUGUUGGGCUACACACGUGCUACAAUGGUAUCUACAACAGGAAGCGAAACAGCGAUGUUAAGCAAAUCCUUAAAAGAUACCUCAGUUCGGAUUGCACUCUGCAACUCGAGUGCAUGAAGCUGGAAUUACUAGUAAUCGUGGAUCAGCGUGCCACGGUGAAUGCGUUCCC